Molecule: small nucleolar RNA, 332 nt
Filed under: Nakaseomyces glabratus
Lineage: Eukaryota; Fungi; Ascomycota; Saccharomycetes; Saccharomycetales; Saccharomycetaceae
Source: RNAcentral
UGGGCUCUUAUACACAUUUCGAGGUGCUCAACCCGAUGCUUUCUGUUACUCCUUCUGUUCAGGUGAUUUAUUUCCAGAAGUUUCGUUUUCUUUUAGUAUUUUUAUUUCUUUUCGAAGUGAUGAGAAUGCUUGGAACUGCUAGUGUUCUACUAGUGGAGAGACUUUUGGAGAACUUGCCUAUGGAUUUGAUGGAUGGCGGAGCAUUGAACCCCCACGCUCCCUAUAUGAAAUAAGCUCAAGAUGCCCAGAAUUAUUUCGUGCCCUUUUUCGCUAACAAUGACUGAUAUCUUCUUCCACAGUUCAUAAGUUUGAUAGUAGAUGGGCAUACAUAU